RNAcentral lists this unclassified non-coding RNA (260 nucleotides) under Hevea brasiliensis (rubber tree). Lineage: Eukaryota; Viridiplantae; Streptophyta; Magnoliopsida; Malpighiales; Euphorbiaceae. The record is from RNAcentral.
AAUCCAAUGUCAUCACUUUUACCACCCUCGAAGUUAUAAGUCUUGAGUAUAGCAACAACAUCAUUAGCAAUAGAGUUGAUCUCAAACACCCAGUGUUGAAUUCUUUGAUCUCCACUUUGCUUUAGUUCUGCAUCUUUGAGGAAAGACUGCAUGAACAGAAGCUCGUUUCGCAGCCACUGUAUAUCCUCUCUCAGACUUGUAAGUAGGUUAAUUUCCUGAAUGAGGAAAUCACCCAAUUUUUUAACUGCAAAUGACACAAA